GGCAGUCUCACUAUUCCGUCUGCAUGUUUCACAAAUAGAGUUUGGAGCAGUGGAGGCUUAUAUGAGACUACAGCCAAUGAGCUCGAGUUGAAAAAGAAAAUAGCUUACAGCACGUGGUAUUCCCCGGUGAAGCAGUCAACGGAGGAUUCACUCAGUACCAGAUGGAACAUGCCUACACAUCAGUGCACCGUGUGCGACAAGACAUUCGGUGAAAAGUCCAACCUGGCGAGUCAUCUGAAGAUCCAUGCAGACGCCAGGGAGACCUUUACCUGUGAUGUCUGCGGGAAGAGCUUGGCCACUAAACCAUCGCUGGUCAGCCAUCAACAGCUACACCAGUACCCCAACAUCAUUUUGUACCGGCUAGGAGAGGCCAGGCUGUACUGUACAGAGGCAGCAAGGUCUGUGGCAGAGGCCCGCAGCAGCACUGUUGUUGACCCUAAAUGGCUGGAUCUCAAGACAGCAGAGACCUUUGGAAAGGUCAGCUGGUCAUCACGUUCGGGAAGCACGCCGGUCAGACCUUCAGGUGGCUUGUGGAGAAUGAUGUCGGCUGGCUGGUGUGGCUGCUGUUCCAGUACUGCCAGCAGGGAGAGCAGAACGAGCUGCUGAAGUGGCAGAAGGAGCGACUGCUCCGCCAGACCGGCCUCAGGUCCAGUACCGGCACAUCCAUCACCAGGCUGGAAAGAGACGUGGUGAGAAGCGGAGCU
This is a long non-coding RNA of Gadus chalcogrammus (walleye pollock), 704 nucleotides long. RefSeq lists it as uncharacterized. The record is from RefSeq and is a predicted model, not a curated record. The transcript is spliced from 3 exons. NCBI's taxonomy places the organism in Eukaryota, Metazoa, Chordata, Actinopteri, Gadiformes, Gadidae.